Molecule: long non-coding RNA, 719 nt
Organism: Herpailurus yagouaroundi (jaguarundi)
Lineage: Eukaryota; Metazoa; Chordata; Mammalia; Carnivora; Felidae
Exons: 2
Source: RefSeq, a predicted model, not a curated record
GUCUCCCUGUCUCUCUGACCUUCCCCCAUUCAUGCUCUGUCUCUCUCUCUCUCUCUGUCUCAAAAAAUGAAUAAACGUUAAAAAAAAAAUUUAAAAGAAGCUAAGAAAUAUGAAUCUCGCUUCCAAAAGGGAAUCAACUUUUAAUUAAAAGGAAACUGCAGAGCAAGUCACAUGAAACAACACUUUGUUUCUUCAAGCAGUAAAUCGGCCGCCUCUGUGCUAACAUUCAGAGCAUUGCCACCUUCUCGUCUGUUUGGAACUUUAUUUGGGGCAUGUUUUGGUUGUCACAGUGACUGGGCUGUGCCAUUUAGGUUUUGUGAGUGGGGUCCAGAAAUUCUUCACGUUAUGGUAUCUUAUCUGCCACACAUUGUGUAUUGUACAGGCAGUUGUACAGAGGAAGAAUUUUUCCACCCAAAAGGCUACCUCUGGUCCCUUUGGAAAACACUGAAGCAAAGAACGGGGCGUCUUUCCAACGCAGGGAGACAAAGCGGGACGAAUCCAUUAGAGACGGACACGACACACACCACGAGGCUGACGUGGCUCCGAUGCCGUGGCGGCCGUGUAAGUAAACCCGAGGGUAAGCCCGUCGGUGCCUCCUCACUUUGCUGCUGCUCUGCUCCGCGGCCCUGCUCAGCUGCUGGGGGCCUUCCUGGCUGCUUCCGGCCUCGCGCCGCCUGAGUCAAUCCAGUUGUGCUUCAGUAAAGUCUUAAAAUGUUUAA